RNAcentral lists this long non-coding RNA (340 nucleotides) under Drosophila guanche. Lineage: Eukaryota; Metazoa; Arthropoda; Insecta; Diptera; Drosophilidae. The record is from RNAcentral.
CAUCCCACCCACUCCCAAACAAAGAAGUAGAAAAAGGCAAGAGGAAAAGGAACAAAAAUCUCUGGGCCCUGGAACAUCCAUCCAUCCAUCGCUGGCUGGCUGGGCUGGCUCUGCUCAGGCUACGUGGCCAAUAUGCAGCUGAAGGAAAAUAAAGUGCCAAAGGGCACACAUGGCUUUUAGUGGCUUUUGUUUUGAGCCAUAAACAUGGCUAGGGCACUGGUGGAGCCAAGGGGAUUUUUGAGCACAUUGAUUGGGAAAUUUCAAAAAAGAGUUUCAGAGUUAUACAACACUAAAAAAUGUGCAUAAAACGAGUGUUCAAAUUGAUCAACUUAUGUGUUUA